This 46-nucleotide ribosomal RNA is filed under the name Closteriopsis acicularis. RNAcentral describes it as "partial 28S ribosomal RNA". The record is from RNAcentral. Lineage: Eukaryota; Viridiplantae; Chlorophyta; Trebouxiophyceae; Chlorellales; Chlorellaceae.
UCGACCUGAGCUCCAGCAAKAUUACCCGCUGAACUUAAGCAUAUCA